AGUCACUCUGGUGAUCCGACGGCCUCAGCAUCCUAAAUCCUUGCCUCAAAAUAUUGUUUCUUAAACCCUAAACCCCCAUUUUGCGCACUUUCCUCGCCCUUCACUAGUCUUCAUUUCGAUUCUCCAAAAGCUCGAGCAUAAUUUUGACACAAAAUGGCUUGGCGCAGUGGAGGAUCGCUCUCGCGUGCUCUCAUCUCCGCUUCCAGGGCUCCAUCUCGCCUCUCCUCGCCGCCGCUCCCCCGCAUUCGUCCCCCGCCCACUGCCUCCCCUCGGCUCCAGUCCCGCCGCCCGUCCUUUGCUACCUCCAGGAAUAUGGGAGAACUAGGAUGUAUGCAAUCAUUCUUGCCUCUGCAUAGCAUGGUGUCUACCAACCACCUCACAUCACGCCUCAAUGCUAACUUGCGGGCUUUUUGCGAGCUGUCUCAUGGUACCUUCUACCGUACUUGUCAGGAUCGCUAGUGGUCUCUUUGGAGGAAUGGAAAAGACGGGUGAUGCACGUGGACUUUCAGUCAGCUAAAGAUGCAGGAUUUUUGCAACGAUAGUACUUGAAGGGCCGUUGGAUAUGUGCAUGAAAGUGCAAUGACAUACUGAGGGAGUCAACAGAGUGGGUGCACCAUUGGGGUCUUAGGAUUCUUAAGUAGGAAUGCUUUAAUAAAUCUGUCAUGUUUUUGUUAUACUUCAGAGAUUGAUCUUGUAAUUUUCUCACAUUUGGGACGACCAAACGUCAUCUGGGAAAUUUUCUUUGUUUCUGCUUGUUAUCUGUAAGAUUAUGCAGCUGACAACCUGGUCAAAAUUGGGAUUUCUAUAUCUUUUUUCUGUCUUC
Molecule: RNA transcript, 823 nt
Organism: Manihot esculenta (cassava)
Lineage: Eukaryota; Viridiplantae; Streptophyta; Magnoliopsida; Malpighiales; Euphorbiaceae
Exons: 4
Source: RefSeq, a predicted model, not a curated record